GAGUAACGCGUGARAAUUUGGCUUCAGGUCGGGGACAACCACUGGAAACGGKGGCUAAUACCGGAUAUGCCGARAGGUGAAAGGSUUGCUGCCUGAARAUAARCUCGCGUCUGAUUAGCUAGUUGGUGGGGUAAGARCCUACCAAGGCGACSAUCAGUAGCUGGUCUGARAGGAUGAUCAGCCMCACUGGGACUGARACACGGCCCARACUCCUACGGGAGGSAGCAGUGGGGAAUUUUCCSCAAUGGGCGAAAGCCUGACGGARCAAUACCGCGUGAGGGARGAAGGSUCUUGGGUCGUAAACCUCUUUUCUCAGGGAAAAAAAAAAUGACGGUACCUGARGAAWAAGCAUCGGCUAACUCCGUGCCAGCAGCCGCGGUAAUACGGAGGAUGCAAGCGUUAUCCGGAAUGAUUGGGCGUAAAGGGUCCGCAGGUGGUACUGUAAGUCUGCUGUUAAARAGCAAGGCUCMACCUUGUAAAAGCGGKGGAAACUACARAA
Molecule: ribosomal RNA, 499 nt
Filed under: Cylindrospermum sp. IMU05
Lineage: Bacteria; Bacillati; Cyanobacteriota; Cyanophyceae; Nostocales; Nostocaceae
Description: partial 16S ribosomal RNA
Rfam family: Bacterial small subunit ribosomal RNA
Source: RNAcentral